GUCUUUUUGUUUUUUAUAUAAGGUCAGACCUGCCCAAUGAAUUUUAAAUGGCCGCAGUACUUUAACUGUGCAAAGGUAGCAUAAUAAUUUGUUUUUUAAUUGGAAACUAGUAUGAAUGGUCAUACGAGGGAUUGACUUUCUUUAUCUUACUUAAAUUAAUUUUAUUUUUCUGUGAAAAAGCAGAGAUUUCAUUAGUAGACGAUAAGACCCUUUAAAACUUUAUUCAUUAUAGAAGUAUAAUUUUGUUAGGUUUUAAUAGUGUACUUUUUUAAUGAGUUUUGUUGGGGCGACAGGUAAAUUUAUUUAACUUUAUUUUUGUUUUUCACUAAUUAGUGUUUAUUUGAUCCAGGUUUAGUUUUGAUUAUAAGUUUAAGUUACUUAA
RNAcentral lists this ribosomal RNA (382 nucleotides) under Cimex lectularius (bed bug). Its description in RNAcentral is "partial 16S ribosomal RNA". Lineage: Eukaryota; Metazoa; Arthropoda; Insecta; Hemiptera; Cimicidae. The record is from RNAcentral.